GACAUUCUCUAAAAUACCACCAUUUUUAUUUUUAGGACAAAAAUACCACAAGACUAGAAUUAAAUUUUAAAUUUUCAAACUUUAAAUUCUAAAUUCUAAACAUUAAAUCCUACCCCCUAAAUACUAUACCCUAAAUUGCAAAUAAUCAACCCAAACCAAAGAUUUAAAAUUCCAUACCAUUGAACAAUAAUUUGAUUUUAGUGGUAUUUUUGGAAAGAGAACGAAAAUGAUGGUAUUUUGAG
RNAcentral lists this long non-coding RNA (242 nucleotides) under Capsella grandiflora. RNAcentral's name for it is "long non-coding RNA (CGRA_LNC000442)". The record is from RNAcentral. Lineage: Eukaryota; Viridiplantae; Streptophyta; Magnoliopsida; Brassicales; Brassicaceae.